Molecule: long non-coding RNA, 302 nt
Organism: Capra hircus (goat)
Lineage: Eukaryota; Metazoa; Chordata; Mammalia; Artiodactyla; Bovidae
Exons: 3
Source: RefSeq, a predicted model, not a curated record
CCUACCACGGCUUCCCGCGGGUCGGUCGCCUUGCGUGUGGACUCAGCCCGCUCUGGUCGCUACAGGGCAGGCCCAUAGGGGUCCCAGAAGCUCAACUGGAGCCCAGGGCAGCCAGGACCAGUCCCAGGAAAGUGGACUCAGAGAUCCAGACAGAUGCCAGAAAGACCGGAAGGAGGUGCAGAAAGAACCGCGCGGGCCACAGAGAGGACGCACGGAUGACAAAACUAGAGAUUCAGAGAGACGACAGAAAGAGAGUACAUCAUGUGAAAUGCUGGGCUGGAUGAAGCACAAGCUGGAAUCAA